GAUGAAGAACGCAGCAAAAUGCGAUAAGUAAUGUGAAUUGCAGAAUUCAGUGAAUCAUCGAAUCUUUGAACGCACAUUGCGCCCGCUGGUAUUCCGGCGGGCAUGCCUGUUCGAGCGUCAUUUCAACCCUCAAGCCCCCGGGUUUGGUGUUGGGGAUCGGCUCUGCCCUUCUGGGCGGUGCCGCCCCCGAAAUACAUUGGCGGUCUCGCUGCAGCCUCCAUUGCGUAGUAGCUAACACCUCGCAACUGGAACGCGGCGCGGCCAUGCCGUAAAACCCCAACUUCUGAAUGUUGACCUCGGAUCAGGAAGGAAUACCCGCUGAACUUAAGCAUAUCAAUAAGCGGAGGA
This 348-nucleotide unclassified non-coding RNA is filed under the name soil metagenome. Its description in RNAcentral is "partial contains 5.8S ribosomal RNA, internal transcribed spacer 2, and large subunit ribosomal RNA". The stretch from base 1 to 120 matches the Rfam family "5.8S ribosomal RNA", at positions 35 to 154 of the family's 154-position model. The record is from RNAcentral.